RNAcentral lists this microRNA precursor (93 nucleotides) under Marmota monax (woodchuck). The record is from RNAcentral. Lineage: Eukaryota; Metazoa; Chordata; Mammalia; Rodentia; Sciuridae.
AAUGGAAUUGCUGGGUCAUAUGAUAAUUACUCUUUUGAGGAACUGCCACUGUUUUCCAAAGCGGCUGCAUCAAUUUACAUUCCUACCAGCAAU